GUUAGGCUGCCGUUGGUCCCGAGACUCCCCCAUCUGCGCCCCCGCCCUGCCCUGCGAGGCCGCCGCCGCGCGCCCCACCGUCUGUUGCAGUGGAGCGUGAGCCGCGGCUGCGGCUCCUGGUUCUUGUGGAAGCACCGACCAUGUGCCGAGAGCUAACUGUGUCAAGAAGAGCAUGCUUCAGUUGGCUGGAGUGAGCAAUUCAACUUGUGGAGGAGUGAGAAAUGUUAGUGUUGAGACAAGAAACGUAAAACCCCAGGGACAGCAAGGCUGAGGAGAAUGGCUCCCACAGCUUCAUGCACUCCAUGGACCCACAGCUGGAGCGGCAAAUGGAAACCACCCAGAACCUGGUGGACUCCUACAUGGCCAUUGUCAACAAGACCGUGUGGGACCUCAUGACCAAGGAGUUCAUCUUCUCGGAGCUGCUGUCCAACCUGCGCUCGCGUGGGAACGAGAAGACACUCAUGGAGGAGUCGGCAGAGUAGGCACAGCGGCGCGACGAGAUGCUGCUUCUCAGAGCUGCUGUCCAACCUGCACUCGCUUGGGAACCAGAAGACACUCGUGGAGGAGUCGGCAGAGCAGGCACAGCGGCGCGACGAGACUCGCGUGGGAAGAAAUAGACACUCCUGGAGGAGUCGGCAGAGCAGGCACAGCGGCGCGACGAGACUCGCGUGGGAACGAGAAGACACUCCUGGAGGAGUCGGCAGAGCAGGCAGACCAAGGAGUUCAUCUUCUCGGAGCUGCUGUCCAACCUGCACUCGCGUAGGGACAAGAAGACACUCCUGCAGGAGUCGGCGGAGCAGGCAGACCAAGGAGUUCAUCUUCUCAGAGCUGCUGUCCAACCUGCACUCGCGUGGGAACGAGAAGACACUCCUGGAGGAGUCGGCGGAGCAGGCACAGCGGCGCGACGAGAUGCUGCGCAUGCACCACGUGCUGAAAGAGGCUCUCAGCAUCAUCGGCAACAUCAACACGAACACCGUCAGCACAGCUACGGGGGCCCGUGGACGACGCCUAGCUGCAG
RNAcentral lists this long non-coding RNA (1018 nucleotides) under Homo sapiens (human). Its description in RNAcentral is "non-protein coding lnc-LYSMD4-2:1". The record is from RNAcentral. Lineage: Eukaryota; Metazoa; Chordata; Mammalia; Primates; Hominidae.